AACGAACGCUGGCGGCAUGCCUAACACAUGCAAGUCGAACGAGACCUUCGGAACUAGUGGCGCUCGGGUGCGUCACGCGUGGGAACCUGCCCUUAGGUUCGGAAUACCACUCCGAAAGGGGUGCUAAUACAGGAUAACGUCUUCGGACCACAGAUUUGUCGUCUUUGGGUGGGCCCGCGUUGGUUUAACUAGUUGGUAGGGUAAAAGCCUACCAAGGAGACGUUCCAUAGCUGGGCUGAGAGGAUGAUCAGCCACACUGGGACGGGGACACGGUCCAGACUCCUACGCGAUGCAGCAGUGGGGAAUAUUGCACUAUGGGCGAGAUCCUGAUCCAGCAAUGCCGCGUGAGUGAUUUUGUUGGUAGGGUAGUAAAGCUCUUUUACCCGGGACUAUAAUGACAGUACCGGGAGAAUAAGCUCCGGCUAACUCCGUG
RNAcentral lists this ribosomal RNA (433 nucleotides) under uncultured bacterium. RNAcentral describes it as "partial 16S ribosomal RNA". It matches the Rfam family "Bacterial small subunit ribosomal RNA", at positions 29 to 507 of the family's 1533-position model. The record is from RNAcentral.